RNAcentral lists this ribosomal RNA (253 nucleotides) under uncultured bacterium. Its description in RNAcentral is "partial 16S ribosomal RNA". It matches the Rfam family "Bacterial small subunit ribosomal RNA", at positions 524 to 776 of the family's 1533-position model. The record is from RNAcentral.
UACAGAGGGUGCAAGCGUUAAUUGGAUUUACUGGGCGUAAAGCGCGCGUAGGUGGCCAAUUAAGUCAAAUGUGAAAUCCCCGAGCUUAACUUGGGAAUUGCAUUCGAUACUGGUUGGCUAGAGUAUGGGAGAGGAUGGUAGAAUUCCAGGUGUAGCGGUGAAAUGCGUAGAGAUCUGGAGGAAUACCGAUGGCGAAGGCAGCCAUCUGGCCUAAUACUGACACUGAGGUGCGAAAGCAUGGGGAGCAAACAGG